RNAcentral lists this ribosomal RNA (253 nucleotides) under uncultured bacterium. Its description in RNAcentral is "partial 16S ribosomal RNA". It matches the Rfam family "Bacterial small subunit ribosomal RNA", at positions 524 to 776 of the family's 1533-position model. The record is from RNAcentral.
UACGAGGGGGGCAAAUGUUGUUCGGAAUCACUGGGCGUAAAGGGUGCGUAGGCGGGUGUUUAAGUUAGGUGUUUAAUCCUGGGGCCCAACCCCAGUCGUGCACCUAAAACUGGACAUCUUGAAUAGUGGAGAGGUCAGUGGAAUUGGGGGUGUAGCGGUGGAAUGCGUAGAGAUCCCCAAGAACACCGGUUGCGAAGGCGGCUGACUGGACACAUAUUGACGCUGAGGCUCGAAAGCAUGGGGAGCAAACAGG